Rosa chinensis is the source of this 411-nucleotide long non-coding RNA. RefSeq lists it as uncharacterized. The record is from RefSeq and is a predicted model, not a curated record. The transcript has 4 exons. NCBI's taxonomy places the organism in Eukaryota, Viridiplantae, Streptophyta, Magnoliopsida, Rosales, Rosaceae.
UUUUCAUAUCUGAGUUUUUGUUCUUAGUUCUGUUUUGUAUUGAUGCUUGUUUGUGGUUGUUCAUAUUUUUCCGUCUGAGGAUUCUCUGAUUGAAUUUCUUCAUAGCCUAGUUGACAUGGAUAUAUCAUUCCAAAACCUCAAGGAGGCAAGUGAGUCAAUUACUCAAGCAACAUCAAAGCAGUGAGUUUGUUCGGACAUUGGCCAAGCAACUUUUCUGGUACCGUGGAUAAAUGGGUGAAAUUACUUGGAGAAGAGCCAACUAAUUCAAUCAUGGUUGAUGGAGAGGAGAAACAGAGGAUGAGGAAGAAGAUGAUGAUUUCUUUUUCCUGGAUAUUUUUAUUUUGAAAUGACGAUUUUAGCCCUGAAAGUUGGCUCCAUUGUCAGAGUUAACGUCUAAUUUGGACGGAGAGA